UCUCCUCACUGUUUUUAUUCUAUGUAUGAAAAUUUCGAUUAUAGGAGCAGUUGAUGCAUGUGUUAAAAUCUCAGCAUGUUCUUGCCAAAAUUCUGAGGGUACUAUAGAUUUAACUCCACUUUCCGGAAGUCCGAAGUUUAAAGAUAUACAAGAUGACGCUGGAAGUUAUUAUUUUUCUUAUAAUCCAUGUCAGGAAUUCACUGAAAGUGGAUGUACAUCUGUUUCUGGAUGUCAAACCGAUAUGACCAAUUAUUAUAGUAUAGGAACUCAAGAUAGCGCAGCGUUUAAAGUAGAUGCCACCAAUGGACUAUAUAUUGAAUAUGAUGCCACAACAGAUGUUAAAAGAACAUUACAGGUCUAUUUAAAAUGUGACACAACAGAAGAGGGCCAACUUGAUGUUAAAGGAGAAUUUCCCGCUGGCAGCGCUAUAUAUGAGAUGAAUUUAACAAGUAAAUACUGCUGCCCGACUCCUGGCCCGUCUCCAGUCCCGACUCCAGCCCCGACUCCAGUCCCGACUCCAGCCCCGACUCCAGUCCCGACUCCAGUCCCGUGUAAACACAGCCACAGAGAGUGGAUUAUUAUCAUAAUACUUUCAUGUAUAAUGUUAUCAUUGUUGGUGUUGAUAAUAUUAUCAUCGAUUAUCAUCUGUCUACAAAUAAGGAAUAACAGAAACACAUCAUUUACAAAAACAUUUCCUAAUCCAAAAGUUUCUGAAAAUAAAUCAUACGGGACUCUUAAUUAAGCAAAACCCAGCACUGUUUUAAUGAAUAGGAUAUUUACUAAAUAGAAAUCAGACGAGAUCAUAUAGUGUGCAAUAAUGCCGACUGAAGCUUUGAUUUAUAAUAUUUAUUUAACUUUUCUUGUCAGAUGGGAUAUUUUUUCAUUCAUAACCCUACUUCGAUCAGCCCUCUACUAUAUAUUAAGAUAUAUUGUUGAUUAUGACUUUAAUGCAGUUUCGUCAUUAUCGACAUAUCUCCUAUAAGCACUUUCUCUCAGACGUUGGAUUUAUGAAGUUUUAUUAGUUAAUUAUGUUACAGGCACUAUACAUGAUUAUCAUUGUUUAAUAAAAUAUCAUUAUUAUAUAAGUUCAACUUUUAAU
This is a long non-coding RNA of Patella vulgata (common limpet), 1099 nucleotides long. RefSeq lists it as uncharacterized. The transcript is spliced from 6 exons. NCBI's taxonomy places the organism in Eukaryota, Metazoa, Mollusca, Gastropoda, Patellidae. The record is from RefSeq and is a predicted model, not a curated record.